This is a non-coding RNA of Pelobates cultripes (western spadefoot toad), 402 nucleotides long. NCBI's taxonomy places the organism in Eukaryota, Metazoa, Chordata, Amphibia, Anura, Pelobatidae. The record is from the annotation of a GenBank genome assembly.
GUCAAAGGCCGGUUACAGCCUAUCAGAUCCAGAGGAGGGGUAUUUAGGCCCAGUUCUCAUCCUGCUCAGUGCCCUGUCGUGGUUUCGCUUGUGGUUGCCCGAGAGCACGUUAUUGAUUCUGGUUAUUUUGGUUAUUUGACUUUGGCAUUGUUUUUGACUUCCCUGUUUUCUGGCAUCCCUGACUCCUGGCUUUUCCUUAUCGUUGUGUCUCUUUCUGUUUCCCUUGACCUCGGCUAUUCCUGACUAUUCUUUGGUACGUUAGUCCGGCCAUUCUAAGGUCCGGUAUACGUUACCUAUCAGUCCUCUGUGUUACACAAUUCUACGUGCUGGAUCAUUCUGUAAUCCUGACACAGAGGAGACAAAAGAAAAAGCCACACAAAUCCUGCCACAACAACAGGUAAG